Molecule: ribosomal RNA, 253 nt
Filed under: uncultured bacterium
Lineage: Bacteria
Description: partial 16S ribosomal RNA
Rfam family: Bacterial small subunit ribosomal RNA
Source: RNAcentral
UACGGAGGGUGCCAGCGUUGUCCGGAAUUACUGGGCGUAAAGCGCUCGUAGGCGGUCGCGUACGGCAGUGGUGAAAGCUCCCGGCUCAACUGGGAGAUGCCCAUUGCAACGGCGUGACUUGAGGGUGGUAGAGGCAGAUGGAAUUCCUGGUGUAGCGGUGAAAUGCGUAGAUAUCAGGAGGAACACCCAUGGCGAAGGCAGUCUGCUGGGCCACACCUGACGCUGAGGAGCGAAAGCCAGGGGAGCGAACGGG